This is a non-coding RNA of Salmo salar (Atlantic salmon), 54 nucleotides long. The record is from Rfam. Lineage: Eukaryota; Metazoa; Chordata; Actinopteri; Salmoniformes; Salmonidae.
AUCUUCAUCCAUUGUAAAUCGCUUUGGAUAAAAGCGUCUGCUAAAUGGCAUAGA